This 76-nucleotide transfer RNA is filed under the name Halorhodospira abdelmalekii. RNAcentral describes it as "tRNA-Lys". It matches the Rfam family "tRNA". From Rfam's summary of the family: Transfer RNA (tRNA) molecules are approximately 80 nucleotides in length. Their secondary structure includes four short double-helical elements and three loops (D, anti-codon, and T loops). Further hydrogen bonds mediate the characteristic L-shaped molecular structure. tRNAs have two regions of fundamental functional importance: the anti-codon, which is responsible for specific mRNA codon recognition, and the 3' end, to which the tRNAs corresponding amino acid is attached (by aminoacyl-tRNA synthetases). tRNAs cope with the degeneracy of the genetic code in two manners: having more than one tRNA (with a specific anti-codon) for a particular amino acid; and 'wobble' base-pairing, i.e. permitting non-standard base-pairing at the 3rd anti-codon position. Lineage: Bacteria; Pseudomonadati; Pseudomonadota; Gammaproteobacteria; Chromatiales; Ectothiorhodospiraceae. The record is from RNAcentral. RNAcentral also lists the same sequence under 1 other name.
GGGCCGUUAGCUCAGUCGGUAGAGCAUCGGACUUUUAAUCCGCUGGUCGUAGGUUCGAAUCCUACACGGCCCACCA